This is a long non-coding RNA of Pogona vitticeps (central bearded dragon), 948 nucleotides long. NCBI's taxonomy places the organism in Eukaryota, Metazoa, Chordata, Lepidosauria, Squamata, Agamidae. The record is from Ensembl.
GAGCCAUCUGUCAGGCACCAGAGGGCAAUUUUCAGGAGAGGAAUUUAUCAUGGUCUGAGUGAGGGGCUGAUGGAGUUCAGCUAAAGCGAGAUGUGACAAGGAUUGUCCAUGUACCCAUGAAAGCAGCUACUUGGCAGUUUUAGCUGGAAGGCCACAAUUUUUGAUUCUGACAGUCUUGUCUUUUUCUGUUCUUCAGCAACGCACUGGAGCUGAUAUAUUCUGAUGCCAGAAUCAGUGAUGUAAGUUAAUCUUUCCUGAGCCAUCGUCUUCUUCCUCUCAAAGAUGUCCUUUUGGGAAUGAUGUCUACAUGUUACAAGUGUAAACAGGGAAGGGGGGCUAGCUCUGUGGUGGGGCACAUGUUUUGCAGGGGGAAGUCCCUUUCAACCUCCCUGUAGGGGUGGAUGAGACCUUUCUCUGUCUAAAACACUGGAGAGUUACGAAUGCUCCCUGUGGACAAUAUUGGACAGAUCUAUGGUCAGAUCCUGCAUAGGGCAGUUUCUUAUGCUUGGAUAUCCACUCUCCACCUCUUUGCUCCCUUGCAGGUUUCCAGUCUUGAAUCCCAUUGCGGCAAAUUGCUGGGAGAAACCGUUUUGCCAGUUUUCAACAGCAACCUUGCUUUUGGAUUCCCUAUACCUUCAAUCUUUGGCGCUGAUCUCAUUAAUCCCACGUUCUUCUUUAUUGAGGGUGUCCUUUUGGUUGGCUUUUGAGCCGGAGGAUGCACAGAAGUCUCCGGGACCAGAAGGGAGGAGCGACCGGCACACAGAGAGAAGAACCCCUGACAUCCAGUUUUCCCUUUCCCCAUUCUCAGGAGACCCAAUAGGAUUCCGUCUCCUAGACUUCCUUGAAUAAAUAUCCUGGUUUUGGCUGGCAAGAUGUAUUAGAAUUUCUUUCCACUUUUUCAGGAGGUGGGUUUGGGUAGGGAUAAGCCCACUGAUAUUCACAGGCUUA